GACGAACGCUGGCGGCGUGCCUAAUACAUGCAAGUAGAACGCUGAAGAGAGGAGCUUGCUCUUCUUGGAUGAGUUGCGAACGGGUGAGUAACGCGUAGGUAACCUGCCUUGUAGCGGGGGAUAACUAUUGGAAACGAUAGCUAAUACCGCAUAACAAUAGGUGACACACGUCAUUUAUUUGAAAGGGGCAAUUGCUCCACUACAAGAUGGACCUGCGUUGUAUUAGCUAGUAGGUGAGGUAACGGCUCACCUAGGCGACGAUACAUAGCCGACCUGAGAGGGUGAUCGGCCACACUGGGACUGAGACACGGCCCAGACUCCUACGGGAGGCAGCAGUAGGGAAUCUUCGGCAAUGGGGGCAACCCUGACCGAGCAACGCCGCGUGAGUGAAGAAGGUUUUCGGAUCGUAAAGCUCUGUUGUAAGUCAAGAACGAGUGUGAGAGUGGAAAGUUCACACUGUGACGGUAGCUUACCAGAAAGGGACGGCUAACUACGUG
This 497-nucleotide ribosomal RNA is filed under the name uncultured bacterium. RNAcentral's name for it is "partial 16S ribosomal RNA". It matches the Rfam family "Bacterial small subunit ribosomal RNA", at positions 28 to 507 of the family's 1533-position model. The record is from RNAcentral.